GACGAACGCUGGCGGCGUGCUUAACACAUGCAAGUCGAACGGAAAGGCCCUGCUUUUGUGGGGUGCUCGAGUGGCGAACGGGUGAGUAACACGUGAGUAACCUGCCCUUGACUUUGGGAUAACUUCAGGAAACUGGGGCUAAUACCGGAUAGGAGCUCCUGCUGCAUGGUGGGGGUUGGAAAGUUUCGGCGGUUGGGGAUGGACUCGCGGCUUAUCAGCUUGUUGGUGGGGUAGUGGCUUACCAAGGCUUUGACGGGUAGCCGGCCUGAGAGGGUGACCGGCCACAUUGGGACUGAGAUACGGCCCAGACUCCUACGGGAGGCAGCAGUGGGGAAUUUGCACAAUGGGCGGAAGCCUGACGCAGCAACGCCGCGUGCGGGAUGACGGCCUUCGGGUUGUAAACCGCUUUCGCCUGUGACGAAGCGUGAGUGACGGUAAUGGGUAAAGAAGCACCGGCUAACUACGUG
RNAcentral lists this ribosomal RNA (467 nucleotides) under uncultured bacterium. RNAcentral describes it as "partial 16S ribosomal RNA". It matches the Rfam family "Bacterial small subunit ribosomal RNA", at positions 28 to 507 of the family's 1533-position model. The record is from RNAcentral.